GAUGAACGCUAGCGGCAGGCUUAACACAUGCAAGUCGUGGGGCAGCGCGGACUUCGGUCUGGCGGCGACCGGCAAACGGGUGCGGAACACGUACGCAACCUCCCUCAGAGCGGGGAAUAGCCUCUCGAAAGAGAGAUUAAUACCCCAUAGUAUCUUGAAGACACAUGUCUAUGAGAUUAAAGCUUCGGCACUUUGAGAUGGGCGUGCGGCUGAUUAGGUAGUUGGUAGGGUAACGGCCUACCAAGCCGACGAUCAGUAGCUGAUGUGAGAGCAUGAUCAGCCACACGGGCACUGAGACACGGGCCCGACUCCUACGGGAGGCAGCAGUGAGGAAUAUUGGUCAAUGGAGGGAACUCUGAACCAGCCAUGCCGCGUGAAGGAUGACGGCCCUCUGGGUUGUAAACUUCUUUUGGAUUGGGGCGAAAAAACGGGAUUUAUCCUGGACUGACGGUACCAUCAGAAUAAGCACCGGCUAACUCCGUGCCAGCA
RNAcentral lists this ribosomal RNA (489 nucleotides) under uncultured bacterium. RNAcentral's name for it is "bacterial SSU rRNA". It matches the Rfam family "Bacterial small subunit ribosomal RNA", at positions 28 to 513 of the family's 1533-position model. The record is from RNAcentral.